UUUAACAAAAACAUGUCUGUAUGAUUGUUAUAUAGAGUCUGGCCUGCCCACUGAUUUAUUAAAGGGCCGCGGUAUCUUGACCGUGCGAAGGUAGCAUAAUCAUUAGUCUUUUAAUUGAAGGCUUGUAUGAAUGGUUGGACAAAAAGUUAACUGUCUCAAUUAUAAAAAUUGAAUUUAACUUUUAAGUGAAAAGGCUUAAAUAUACUGAGGGGACGAUAAGACCCUAUAAAGCUUUACAAUAAAUUAAUUAAAUUAUAAAUUAUAAGUUUAACUUAAUUUAAUUAGUAUUUGUUUCGUUGGGGCGACGAGAAUAUAAU
This 317-nucleotide ribosomal RNA is filed under the name Pleoticus robustus. Its description in RNAcentral is "partial 16S ribosomal RNA". It matches the Rfam family "Archaeal large subunit ribosomal RNA", at positions 1895 to 2368 of the family's 2987-position model. Lineage: Eukaryota; Metazoa; Arthropoda; Malacostraca; Decapoda; Solenoceridae. The record is from RNAcentral.